GACGAACGCUGGCGGCGUGCUUAACACAUGCAAGUCGAACGGCAAGGCCCUACUUUUGUGGGGUUCUCGAGUGCCGAACGGGUGCGUAUCACGUGUGUAUCCUGCCCUUGUCUUUCGGAUAACUUCACGUAACUGGGGCUACUAUCGGAUAGGAUCUCCUGUUGCAUUGUGGGCAGUGGAUAUUUUCGGCGUUCGGGGUUGGAUUCGCGGCUUAUCAGCUUGUUGGUGGGGUAGUGGCAUACCAAGGCUUUGACGGGUAGCCGGCCUGAGAGGGUGACCGGCCACAAUGGGACUGAGAUACGGCGCAGACGCCAACGGUAGGCAACAGUGGGGAAUAUUGCACAAUGAGCGGGAGCCAGAUGCGAAGACGCCGCGUGCGUGAAGACGGCCUUCGGGUUGUAAACCGCUGUCGCCUGAGACGAAGCGUGAGUGACGGUAAUGGAUAAAGAAGCACCGGCUAACUACGUG
Molecule: ribosomal RNA, 468 nt
Filed under: uncultured bacterium
Lineage: Bacteria
Description: partial 16S ribosomal RNA
Rfam family: Bacterial small subunit ribosomal RNA
Source: RNAcentral